UGGGAGCAGAGAUACCGCACUUGGCAAUAGGCCUCCCAGAGCUGCAGCCUCAGCUGAAACAAGAGACAAGAGGCUGGGACAUCAAGGCCAUGGAAAUUCUCCUUCUGUGCUGCCGGUAGGACAGACGCACCUCCUGGAGCUCCAUCUGGCUUUGGUGCAGCUUGUGAAGAAAAUCAAGGAUGAGCACUCGGUCCUGCAGCUCCUCCACGGUUCCCUGGAGCAGGUCGUUCUCCUCCAUCAUGGCACUAAGGCGAUGCUCC
Molecule: long non-coding RNA, 260 nt
Organism: Corapipo altera (White-ruffed manakin)
Lineage: Eukaryota; Metazoa; Chordata; Aves; Passeriformes; Pipridae
Exons: 3
Source: RefSeq, a predicted model, not a curated record